Molecule: ribosomal RNA, 449 nt
Filed under: uncultured bacterium
Lineage: Bacteria
Description: bacterial SSU rRNA
Rfam family: Bacterial small subunit ribosomal RNA
Source: RNAcentral
UCGCCAGACUCCUACGGGAGGCAGCAGUGGGGGAUAUUGCACAAUGGGGGGAACCCUGAUGCAGCGACGCCGCGUGGGUGAAGGAGUGCUUCGGCAUGUAAAGCCCUAUCGGCAGGGAAGAAGCAAGACGGUACCUGACUAAGAAGCCCCGGCUAACUACGUGCCAGCAGCCGCGGUAAUACGUAGGGGGCAAGCGUUAUCCGGAUUUACUGGGUGUAAAGGGAGCGUAGACGGUGAGACAAGUCUGAAGUGAAAGCCCGGGGCUCAACCCCGGGACUGCUUUGGAAACUGCCUGACUGGAGUGCUGGAGAGGCAAGCGGAAUUCCUAGUGUAGCGGUGAAAUGCGUAGAUAUUAGGAAGAACACCAGUGGCGAAGGCGGCUUGCUGGACAGUAACUGACGUUGAGGCUCGAAAGCGUGGGGAGCAAACAGGAUUAGAUACCCCAGUAU